This 329-nucleotide ribosomal RNA is filed under the name uncultured eukaryote. Its description in RNAcentral is "partial 18S ribosomal RNA". It matches the Rfam family "Eukaryotic small subunit ribosomal RNA", at positions 1470 to 1796 of the family's 1831-position model. The record is from RNAcentral.
CCCUUAGAUGUUCUGGGCCGCACGCGCGCUACACUGAUGCAUUCAACGAGUCUAAAACCUGCUCUGAUAGGGGUGGGUAAUCUUUUGAAUGUGCAUCGUGAUUGGGAUAGAUGAUUGCAAUUUUUCAUCUUCAACGAGGAAUGCCUAGUAAACGCAAGUCAUCAGCUUGCAUUGAUUACGUCCCUGCCCUUUGUACACACCGCCCGUCGCUCCUACCGAUUGAAUGACUCGGUGAAAAAUUGGGACUGUGAUUGAAAUUGCUUCAUUGCGAAUUUAAUCAUGGAAACUUUCUUUAACCUAGGCAUUUAGAGGAAGGUGAAGUCGUAACA